AUGGGGGAUAGGCCAUGGCAACAGCCGCAUGAGCAGGCUUCUUGUUCAGCGCACGCCGAGAUGAUCCAAGCUUCUACCGCUGCUACCUCGUCCACCCAUGGAAGCAUCAUCAGAAAGGACCCUGGCGGAUACGAGGACUUGGCAGAACUUGAUCAAGCCCUCUUCCUCUACAUCAACAGCCAGGACCAACAAUCAGUUCAAGAGCAACCACACUUCUCUUCACGUGUGCAUGCAGAGACUCUCAACAUCUUCCCUUCUCGGCCGAUGCACGUCGUCGCCGAGCCUUCUCCGAAGGCCGCCACCUCGACGUCGAACAUCGUCGCCGCGAGUUCUAAUUUAAAGCCGCAACGUCCGCCGUCCAAGCAGUCCGCCAUGACGGCACCAGGCGGCAAGGCGACCGUCAAGAGAGAAGGAAGCGGAAGCGGCGGCGCCGGCACGCCGUCGACCUCAGAGCACGAGGGCCCCAGAACGCCGGACGCCAAGACGCUGAGGAGGCUCGCGCAGAACAGGGAGGCCGCGAGGAAGAGCAGGCUUAGGAAGAAGGCUUACAUUCAAAAUUUGGAGACGAGUAGGGUCAGGCUGUCACAGAUGGAGCAGGAGAUGCAGAGAUGCAGCGCUCAGGGUGCAAUCUUGGGUGGUGGAGCUGGCAUUGGAGGACUAAGCCCAGAGGCGGCAUGGUUCGACGGGGAGUACGCGAGGUGGGUGGACGAGCACGACAGGAUGAUGCGGCACCUGCGGGCAGCGGUGGACGCGGAGGGAGUGGAGCACGACGCGGCGGCGACGGACGGCGAGCAGCUGCUGCGGCAGCUCAUCGACGCCACGGCCGCGCACCACGUGGUGCUGGCGGAGCUCAAGUCCGCCGUGGCCAGGGCCGACGUGUUCCACCUCGUCUCCGGGACGUGGCUGCCCGCCGCCGAGCGCUGCUUCAUCUGGAUUGGCGGCUCCCGCCCCUCGGACCUCAUCAAGGUUAUGGCGCGGCAUAUGGAGCCCCUGACGGAGCAACAGGCGGCGGGCAUGUACGACGUGCAGCGGUGGGCGCAGGAGCGCGAGGAAGCUCUGGACCGUGAGCUCCAGGCCACGUACCGCUCCCUCUCCGACACCGUCUCCUCCGACGCGCUCAUCUCCCCCUACCCCGACACGGCCGCCUACAUGGCCCACAUGUCGCUCGCCAUCUCCAACCUCUCCUCCCUCGAGGCCUUCGUCAGACAGGCAGACGCGUUGAGGCUGCAGACGCUGCACAGGCUGCCGCAGGUGCUGACGGCGCGGCAGGCGGCGCGGUGCUUCCUCGCCGUCGCUGACUACUCCCAGCGCCUCCGCGCGCUCAGCUCCCUCUGGCUGGCGCGGCCGCGCCAGGACCAGCCCAACCAGCCCGGCGCCGGCGGCCGUCUGUUCCAUCCAUGA
Molecule: ribosomal RNA, 1401 nt
Filed under: Triticum aestivum (bread wheat)
Lineage: Eukaryota; Viridiplantae; Streptophyta; Magnoliopsida; Poales; Poaceae
Description: partial small subunit ribosomal RNA
Source: RNAcentral